This 373-nucleotide ribosomal RNA is filed under the name uncultured bacterium. RNAcentral describes it as "bacterial SSU rRNA". It matches the Rfam family "Bacterial small subunit ribosomal RNA", at positions 527 to 896 of the family's 1533-position model. The record is from RNAcentral.
GGAGGGUGCGAGCGUUGUCCGGAAUCAUUGGGCGUAAAGGGCGCGUAGGUGGCCCGGUCAGUCUUUGGUGAAAGCGCGGGGCUCAACCCUGCGUCGGCCAGGGAUACUGCCGCGGCUCGAGCACUGUAGAGGCAGGCGGAAUUCCGGGUGUAGCGGUGGAAUGCGUAGAGAUCCGGAAGAACACCGGUGGCGAAGGCGGCCUGCUGGGCAGUUUAGCUGACACUGAGGCGCGACAGCGUGGGGAGCAAACAGGAUUAGAUACCCUGGUAGUCCACGCCGUAAACGAUGGGCACUAGGCGUUGGGGGAGCGACCCCCCGAGGGCCGGCGCUAACGCAUUAAGUGCCCCGCCUGGGGAGUACGGCCGCAAGGCUG